UGGGGAAUCUUCCGCAAUGGACGAAAGUCUGACGGAGCAACGCCGCGUGAGUGACGAAGGUCUUCGGAUUGUAAAACUCUGUUUUUUGGGACGAACGGCUCAUAUGUGAAUAAUGUAUGGGAUUGACGGUACCAAAGGAGGAAGCCCCGGCUAACUACGUGCCAGCAGCCGCGGUAAUACGUAGGGGGCGAGCGUUGUCCGGAAUUAUUGGGCGUAAAGAGCGCGCAGGCGGCUAUUUAAGUCUACCGUGAAAGCUUACGGCUCAACCGUAACGGGUCGGUGGAUACUGGAUGGCUUGAGGGCAGGAGAGGAAAGUGGAAUUCCCAGUGUAGCGGUGAGAUGCGUAGAGAUUGGGAGGAACACCAGUGGCGAAGGCGACUUUCUGGACUGCACUGACGCUGAGGCGCGAAAGCGUGGGGGAGUGGAACGGGAUUAGACGUACCCCGGUAAUCCCGAGCCGUAAACGAGUGGGUACUAGGUGUAGGAGGUA
This 490-nucleotide ribosomal RNA is filed under the name uncultured Bacillota bacterium. Its description in RNAcentral is "bacterial SSU rRNA". It matches the Rfam family "Bacterial small subunit ribosomal RNA", at positions 355 to 831 of the family's 1533-position model. The record is from RNAcentral. Lineage: Bacteria; Bacillati; Bacillota.